AUGGUUUAAAGUGUAUCAAUUUAGUAUUAUGUGAUUUCGCACUUUCUCACUUUAGUACCCUGUGGUUUAAAGUGUAUUAAGUUAGUAUUCUGUGGUUUUACUUUUCUUUUUUUAUUAUCCAUUUCACUUUUUUUUUUCGUUAAAGCAGUGACAAAGUUAAAAUUUAAAGGUACUAAAGUGAAUAUUCGAAAAACCUAGGUAGCGUAUCUAAAGCUUUUUGUAUAUAAUUUAACGAAAUAUUAACGGAGAAAAAAAAUCAGUGACAAAGUUAAAACUGAAGGGGACUAAAGUAAUAUUCGAUAAACCUAGAUAGGGUAUCUAAAGUUUUUUGUAUAUAAUUUAACGAAAUAUUAACGGAGAAAAAAAAUCAGUGACAAAGUUAAAACUGAAGGGGACUAAAGUAAUAUUCGAUAAACCUAGAUAGGGUAUCUAAAGUUUUUUAUAUAUAAUUUAACGAAAUAUUAAUAGAGGAGCCGACGAAAAGAGAAAAAUGAAACAAUAUGAUACUAAAUUGAUGCACUUUAAACCAUAUGGUACUAAAGUGAGAAAGUGAGAAACACAGGGUAUAAAAUUAAUACACUUUAAACUACGGGUUAUUAAAGUGAAAAAGUGCGAAACCACAACGGUGGUAUGUGAAGUUUUCCUAUAUAUUAA
RNAcentral lists this long non-coding RNA (654 nucleotides) under Ananas comosus (pineapple). RNAcentral describes it as "long non-coding RNA (ACOM_LNC020284)". The record is from RNAcentral. Lineage: Eukaryota; Viridiplantae; Streptophyta; Magnoliopsida; Poales; Bromeliaceae.